This 301-nucleotide ribosomal RNA is filed under the name uncultured bacterium. RNAcentral describes it as "partial 16S ribosomal RNA". It matches the Rfam family "Bacterial small subunit ribosomal RNA", at positions 509 to 809 of the family's 1533-position model. The record is from RNAcentral.
CAGCCGCCGCGGUAAUACAGAGGGUGCGAGCGUUAAUCGGAUUUACUGGGCGUAAAGCGUGCGUAGGCGGCUUCUUAAGUCGGAUGUGAAAUCCCUGAGCUUAACUUAGGAAUUGCAUUCGAUACUGGGAAGCUAGAGUAUGGGAGAGGAUGGUAGAAUUCCAGGUGUAGCGGUGAAAUGCGUAGAGAUCUGGAGGAAUACCGAUGGCGAAGGCAGCCAUCUGGCCUAAUACUGACGCUGAGGUACGAAAGCAUGGGGAGCAAACAGGAUUAGAUACCCCUGUAGUCCCUGUCUCUUAUAA